GUGCCAGCAGCCGCGGUAAUACGUAGGAUGCAAGCGUUGUCCGGAUUUACUGGGCGUAAAGCGCGCGCAGGCGGCAGUACAAGUACCCUCUGAAAUCUCCUUGCUCAACGAGGAGGGUGGAGGGUAGACUGUGCAGCUAGAGGAGGGUAGAGGGGGGUAGAAUUGCUGGUGUAGCGGUGAAAUGCGUAGAGAUCAGCAGGAAUACCCGUGGCGAAGGCGGCCCCCUGGGCCCUAAAGCCUUCUCUUUUUACCACUCUCUCUGCAAAGAGAGAGAAGGGGAAAAGGGAAACCUGACGCUGAGGCGCGAAGGCUAGGGGAGCGAACGGGAUUAGAUACCCGGGUAGUCC
This 347-nucleotide ribosomal RNA is filed under the name uncultured bacterium. RNAcentral's name for it is "bacterial SSU rRNA". It matches the Rfam family "Bacterial small subunit ribosomal RNA", at positions 505 to 796 of the family's 1533-position model. The record is from RNAcentral.